AUCGGGAUACUAAAAUAUAUUUCAGACCCUGUACAUAAGAACCUGUUUAAGCUAACUUGGAAAAAAUCUAGGUUCUUAUUCGCAGGGUUUUACUGUGUUGUCUAAUUUUGUCCCAAAACAGACCAUGCACGGCAGCCUGUUCUGCCAACAUAGAUAAUGGGAUGGUGCCACUCUUUGUGACACAAAAUCAGGCAAUUAUAGUACAAUAUGAACUGGCAAGUGUCUGGCACCUUAAAAUCAGAUUCCUUUGUGUAGAUGGAGCUCAUAAGCCUUGGCUGGCAAUCCAUCUAGGAGAAAAAAAGCUCUGAUUUCAAACCCCCAGACCCCACUUUUGGACAAGACAUGUAUAGUAACUAUAUCAGUCAUGAUCAUCUAAAAAUGCCAGUAUAUAUGCACUUAUACAAAGCUGUAUGCACUGCAAAGCUACACUUUAUUUAUCUCAACGACAUUUUCAGGGUUCUGGAUCAUUUUCAUUACUUUGUGAAGAGUUUAUUCUCUUUGAUUUUUAUACAUUUUUAGAUCUGACUGGUCUCCAUGUGAUAAAAUAUGAACCUGAAAUACUAGCCUAAACAGAUUGGGUGUCUAAAUACUGAAAAAUUAGCCUGACAGGCCCUUAUGCAGGUUCUUAUAUGCAAGCUUUUACUUACAAUUAGGGUGGAAAAUAUACUUACUAGUAAUUAUUAGUUGAUUUUGUUUACAUCAUAAGUAUUUGUGAUCAAAAUCUUUUAUAAACUAAAUGUCUUAGGGGUGUUUACAUGGAAGCAAGCCAGCCCAGUUACCUGAGCUAGGUGGCUUUGCCUAGCUAAUUUCAUCAUGUAGCAGGCUGGCACCAAAACAAAUCAUCGCGAGAAACUGUCAUGGUUAUGACCAUCACAACUGUUCACAGAGGCAUUAAUUUAUAAAAUUAUAGAUCAAACAUCUGUUGAGAAAGUCUUAUUUACUACAAUUAGUACAAUAUAUUCGUAUUGAGCGGCUUAGGCAAACCAACCAACCUAGGCGAGAUCUGGGGCUCUGUCGGGCUUCACAAAUUAAACAAGAUCUUGCUUAGGCAAGCAAGCCUGGUUCUCAUAUACACACAAUACGAAUAUUAGUAUAAAUUAUCUAGCAACAUUAGAUCUCGGCCAAGCAAGCUACCUCAGGCACCCGAGCUGGCUUGCCUCCAUAUAAAAGGCAUUUAAACUGUUAUGUGUUUUGAUCAAAUUAAAAUCUACUUUAACUUUGAUCAGAGAAACUUUUUGAUGUGUUUCUAUUAAGUUUUAAGUGAGCACAAGUUGUCCAUGAGCAGACAGUCAAAGACAGUAAAGCACUGCCACAGCCAAGUAGAUUAUCACUCUGACAAUUGACAAUAACACGUCUAUAUAAACAGCCAUUCAAAAGUCCCAAACAUGUUCACUCCAAAUUGUUCAUUAUUUUUUCAUCGACAACUCACUAGUCUCGAGUAUCAUAUCUUUAGGCCUUUAUAAUUAUAUUAUGGGUUUCAGUUUGUAAACAGAAUAGAUAAACAGUUCGUAUAUAUUAACGAUAGUGAAAUAGCUAGUGUAAUAAAGAAAAUUUUAUAGUCAUUAAAACCUCGAUUGAUGGGCUUCAACAAGCGAUUUCUCUGAAGGAUCAACAUUGCAGCUAUGUUUGGAGCAAUCUCCAAUCCUUCUAGGAUUCUUUUCUUGACAACCUUUGGUAGAAGCUUGAGGAUGCAGCUCAUGCAGGUAUAUCAUGGCCAUUCAUGGGCAGACGCAGAAAUGGAAUGCGCUCUCCAUCGAGGAAAACAAUAAAAUAGAUACACUUUGAUACACUUUCGAAGCAUCCCUGUUAGCGUAGUAUCCUUUCCUACUCUUCAUGUUGCCUCAAUAACUCGUUAUUUGACGGACUGUCGCUCAAAAAAGCUCAAAAUAUUUUGGAAACUUCUUCGCUCCUUGGGCAUUAAAUUCAAUUGCGAUAAAAACAACGCGCGUGUUAUUGCCAGAAAUGAGACUGGACCGAGCACAAACAGAGGAUGACAACUUCCUGUGUGUCCCCAC
This 2015-nucleotide long non-coding RNA is filed under the name Paramuricea clavata. The record is from RNAcentral. Lineage: Eukaryota; Metazoa; Cnidaria; Anthozoa; Malacalcyonacea; Plexauridae.